UCCCUGUUAACCAGAGCAGUCUCUUAUGAAAUAUAUAACAUAAGACUAGGGUUGCGCUCGUUCACGGACUUAACCGAACACCUCAAGGCACGAGCUGACGACAACCAUGCAGCGCCUGUCUCCGAGUUCCUUGCGGCACCCCCUCGUUUCCGAAGGGUUCUCGGGAUGUCAAGCCUGGGUAAGGUUCCCCGUUUAGUAUCGAAUUAAACAACAUGCUCCACCGCUUGUGUGGGUCCCCGUCUAUUCCUUUGAGUUUUAGUCUUGCGACCGUAGUCCUCAGGCGGAGUACUUAAUGCGUUAGCUUCGGCACUGGAAGGAUCGAACUCCCAACACCAAGUACUCAUCGUUUACGGCGUGGACUAC
RNAcentral lists this unclassified non-coding RNA (363 nucleotides) under uncultured bacterium. Its description in RNAcentral is "contains 16S-23S intergenic spacer region". The record is from RNAcentral.